RNAcentral lists this long non-coding RNA (1122 nucleotides) under Homo sapiens (human). Its description in RNAcentral is "synapse stability regulating cerebellar lncRNA". Lineage: Eukaryota; Metazoa; Chordata; Mammalia; Primates; Hominidae. The record is from RNAcentral.
CUCAGAUCUUUCUGAGACAUCCCCAGAAAGCGUUGCAAGCUGUGAUUACACCUAAUGUGAGAGCAUGAACUAAUUUAAGAGGUACCUAAAAUGUCUCAUUAUUCAUCAAUUAAUGAAAAACAAAUGAAAAUUUGAGAGAGAUAUUCUGAAGAAUAAAAGGAUCAAGUUGGGUCAUUUCUAAAAUCUCAGAGACCUAAUAGGAUGGGGUCUUAGAGAAACAUCUUUUGAGCCACAGACUUCUUUGUUACCAGAAGGAAAAUGAAAGAAGAAAUUUAAAUACCACUUGAAGAGAGGUGAGAACCCUUUGUUAAGCUGUGUAACCUCUGUGCAUAGUUUCCUCAUCAGCAAAGUCAGAAAAAGUAUGUACCUGAAGGACUGAUUGUAAGGCUGGGAUGAGAGAAUCCAUGUGAUCAGCCCUCACCAACAGGUGCUGCCCAGUUCAUGAGUGCUGCUGCUGUCCUGCCCAAGUACCCAGCUUGCAGAGUGCCAGAGUUAGAGUCCCAGGGGUGUUCUCCACAGCUGCAUGCUUGAUCCAGGCCUAUCAGGUGUUAUUUGUUGACGGAACCAGGCAUCAUCAGCAAACAAAACUGACAAAGCUUCCUGCCCUCUGUGGAAGGCAUCUGAGGAAGAGACUGGAUUUUGUAGCAACAUGUUAUUCUCAUUAUAAACUUUAUCAUUGGAAUACUAAAGCCAAAUCAUCCCCCAUCUCCUUGAUCAGGAUACCCACUUAAUCUAGGCAGCUACACAAUUGUGAGAGCCUUUGUUUUUUUCUGCUGAAACAUCCUUAAAAAGAUACCUCACAACCCAAGAUUUGGCUUUUCUUAAAUACGAUUUUUAAUUUUUUUCAUUUCUAUCUAGAGAUUUAAUUGGAAAUGGAAAAUCAUCAAUUUUCCAAUUAAAUGUCUGUUCCAAUCAACAUUAUACCUUUUAGGUUGUCAUUGUCAUUUUUAAGUUUAAGCAACUUUAAGGAUUUUGAAUCUGGCUGCCUGUAAAUUAAAGGUGAAAGUAAUCAUUGUGUUGGAUUGGAACAUUUUGUCAAUUGAGAGUGGUUUCCUUGUUCUUAGUGUAUGAAAAGUUUAUUUUUCUAAUGUAGAUUAAUAAAGGAGAUAAAGAAAAACAAAA